CCUCUCUACACUCAGGGAUGACGCUGCUGCAAACACUGUGCCCCGCCGUGACCUAAAGUUGUUUGUUUGCUGGAUAACAAACAAACCCAACAACAAAGAUAUGAAGGACAUACAUGAUGUCGUGUACAACCUGCUGAUCUUCCAUGUCCCAUGGAAAAGAUGAGUGAAAGGACAGUAAGGCUUGGAGAAGGCUGCCCCCUGCCACCACUGAGGACAACUACACUAAUACAGACAAGAGUGCCUCAACAGUUACACACUCGGGAGUUUGGGUUUUGCCAUAUGCAACUAGCUACCAUCUCCAACGCUUGUGCAAAACAAAAAAGAAAACUGCUAAGUCAGGAGCCGGACACUAGGGUGAAUGGUGUGCCGAGAGCCGGAGAGACCCAGGACGAUGGAAAGAGAAAGGAGGAUAAGAUCAUCUCGCCCACAGAGCCUCUCACCCCGACACACUGA
Molecule: long non-coding RNA, 453 nt
Filed under: Mastacembelus armatus (zig-zag eel)
Lineage: Eukaryota; Metazoa; Chordata; Actinopteri; Synbranchiformes; Mastacembelidae
Description: lncRNA (ENSMAMG00000024502.1)
Source: RNAcentral